AUCUUAAACACUUAGCAAAGACAGUCAAAGCCAAAGCACAGCUAUUCCUGGACAUUUUAAACAAUAAUAAUAAUAGUUAAAUGUAACUUCCAUAAGUAAGUAAACUGGAGGCUACAAAAGAGAUUCUCAGACAGGAAUGCCUGAUAACUAUCAAAAGGAACUGCCAGAGUAGUUUUUAGUUUAAGGCCCACAGAUAUUCCUAACCUACACAGGUAGGCUUGGUGUUUGCUAGUAUGGUUAUCCAGCCCUAAGUAACAGAAUUAAAAAUUUCUCUAUUAGACACAGAGGUCAUAGUAGUAAAAGGAUUUUGCUAGAUCAGAUGACAUUAAAUUAUUAGACUAUAUCUUAAGGGAAAGGACAUCUGUAAACCUAAAUGUUAAAUGUUGUGUUUACAUCCCUGACAUUUCUGGCAAUGUGACAAAUACCCUUAAAAGAUUUACAUGCUCAGAUAGAAGCCAUGUCCUCAGCAACUCUGUCAUGGAAACAAUAUCUUAGCUCCUGGUUCUUGGUACUUCCUGGUGGAAAACAUUGUUAGUCUUUGUCUUUACCAUUAUACUCAUUGGCAUAUUCCUGUGCUAUGGGAUUUAUUGCUGCAUCAAUCUGGUUCCAGAACUAAUGAAUUCUUGUUUCUCUUAUAGACCACCCAUCACUCAAAUGGCCCUCCAGCCUAUUACUUCUCAAUCGGACUUUUUAUCAUGGACCACUCGAUAGACCUGGUUUUUAAAGGAGGACUCCAAACUGCUUGCCCCACACCGUCCCUUCUCAGCCUGAAGAAGCCAGAAAGAUCUUCUUUGCCCCCCUUCCUUACAGCAGUAAGGAGUUUCCAAAUUAGAGGGGGGAAUGAAGCCAGAUUUAAAGUUAGGUAGUCAGUGUAGUUAGGUAACUCGGGGUCUAAUACCGAGUGAAAUCUAAAAUAGAGGCCAUGUUGAAAAUGAUUCCAGGAAACGCAGGACAACUCAUGGUAAUCAGACAGCAAUAUGCUCCACUGACAGAGAUGGAAAAUGAGACUCCCCAAUAAUUAUGAUUCAUUACUUUUAAGAUUAAAAGUAGUCAGAAAAAGUGGGAAAUGAAAGGAUAAAAGAAACUGAAGUUAAAAUGUAAAGGACCAGGUAUUGUAAAGUUUCUAAACUGCACUCAGAACCUGAAAUUCCUGUGGCAGUUAAGACAAUUCCAGGAACUGCCCAUUAGAUAUGUGUCAAAAUCCCCCCUGACCACUUAGUUGUUUAACAACCUGGACCCUGUGCAGCUCGGCACGUAGGCACCUCAGGGCCCAAACCAAUCAGCUUGAAUGUAUCCCCCUCCUUAGGACUGACCUAUCACUCUCGCCCGACCUGUUCCUGCCAAUGAAUUUGCUAAUCAUGUUUGAGAGUUUUUGUUUGAUUUUCCCCGUGCCUCAUGAUGAUUUGCUCUGAUGUAUGCAAAGCCCCCGCCCUCCCCAAAAAGUGUACUUAAGCACUGCUCAGCCCCUGCUCGGGGCUCUGGGCUGCUUUCCCUUCUUGAGUGGGCACAGAGCCCCAGUGCGCUGGAUCCUUAAUAAACC
Molecule: long non-coding RNA, 1540 nt
Filed under: Marmota monax (woodchuck)
Lineage: Eukaryota; Metazoa; Chordata; Mammalia; Rodentia; Sciuridae
Source: RNAcentral